Molecule: ribosomal RNA, 1981 nt
Filed under: soil metagenome
Description: bacterial LSU rRNA
Rfam family: Bacterial large subunit ribosomal RNA
Source: RNAcentral
UUAAGCGACUAAGCGUACACGGUGGAUGCCCUGGCAGUCAGAGGCGAUGAAGGACGUGCUAAUCUGCGAAAAGCGCCGGCGAGGUGAUAUGAACCUUUGACCCGGCGAUGUCCGAAUGGGGAAACCCAGUGUGUUCCGACACACUAUCGUUAACUGAAUACAUAGGUUAACGAGGCGAACCGGGGGAACUGAAACAUCUAAGUACCCCGAGGAAAAGAAAUCAACCGAGAUUCCCCCAGUAGCGGCGAGCGAACGGGGAGCAGCCCAGAGUCUGAAUCAGCUUGUGUGUUAGUGGAAGCGUCUGGAAAGUCGCAGGGUACAGGGUGAUACUCCCGUACACGAAAACACACUUGCUGUGAACUCGAAGAGUAGGGCGGGACACGUGGUAUCCUGUCUGAAUAUGGGGGGACCAUCCUCCAAGGCUAAAUACUCCUGACUGACCGAUAGUGAACCAGUACCGUGAGGGAAAGGCGAAAAGAACCCCGGCGAGGGGAGUGAAAAAGAACCUGAAACCGUGUACGUACAAGCAGUGGGAGCCUACUUGUUAGGUGACUGCGUACCUUUUGUAUAAUGGGUCAGCGACUUAUAUUCUGUAGCAAGGUUAACCGUAUAGGGGAGCCGAAGGGAAACCGAGUCUUAACUGGGCGUUAAGUUGCAGGGUAUAGACCCGAAACCCGGUGAUCUAGCCAUGGGCAGGUUGAAGGUUGGGUAACACUAACUGGAGGACCGAACCGACUAAUGUUGAAAAAUUAGCGGAUGACUUGUGGCUGGGGGUGAAAGGCCAAUCAAACCGGGAGAUAGCUGGUUCUCCCCGAAAGCUAUUUAGGUAGCGCCUCGUGAACUCAUCUUCGGGGGUAGAGCACUGUUUCGGCUAGGGGGCCAUCCCGGCUUACCAACCCGAUGCAAACUACGAAUACCGAAGAAUGUUAUCACGGGAGACACACGGCGGGUGCUAACGUCCGUCGUGAAGAGGGAAACAACCCAGACCGCCAGCUAAGGUCCCAAAGUCAUGGUUAAGUGGGAAACGAUGUGGGAAGGCACAGACAGCCAGGAUGUUGGCUUAGAAGCAGCCAUCAUUUAAAGAAAGCGUAAUAGCUCACUGGUCGAGUCGGCCUGCGCGGAAGAUGUAACGGGGCUAAACCAUGCACCGAAGCUGCGGCAGCGACGCUUAUGCGUUGUUGGGUAGGGGAGCGUUCUGUAAGCCGUUGAAGGUGGCCUGUGAGGGUUGCUGGAGGUAUCAGAAGUGCGAAUGCUGACAUAAGUAACGAUAAUGCGGGUGAAAAGCCCGCACGCCGGAAGACCAAGGGUUCCUGUCCAACGUUAAUCGGGGCAGGGUGAGUCGACCCCUAAGGCGAGGCCGAAAGGCGUAGUCGAUGGGAAACAGGUUAAUAUUCCUGUACUUGGUGUUACUGCGAAGGGGGGACGGAGAAGGCUAUGUUAGCCGGGCGACGGUUGUCCCGGUUUAAGCAUGUAGGCGGGAGUUUUAGGUAAAUCCGGAACUCUUCUAACGCUGAGGUGUGAUGACGAGGCACUACGGUGCUGAAGUAACAAAUGCCCUGCUUCCAGGAAAAGCCUCUAAGCAUCAGGUAACAUCAAAUCGUACCCCAAACCGACACAGGUGGUCAGGUAGAGAAUACCAAGGCGCUUGAGAGAACUCGGGUGAAGGAACUAGGCAAAAUGGUGCCGUAACUUCGGGAGAAGGCACGCUGAUGUGUAGGUGAAGCCCCUGCGGGUGGAGCUGAAAUCAGUCGAAGAUACCAGCUGGCUGCAACUGUUUAUUAAAAACACAGCACUGUGCAAACACGAAAGUGGACGUAUACGGUGUGACGCCUGCCCGGUGCCGGAAGGUUAAUUGAUGGGGUUAGCGGCAACGCGAAGCUCUUGAUCGAAGCCCCGGUAAACGGCGGCCGUAACUAUAACGGUCCUAAGGUAGCGAAAUUCCUUGUCGGGUAAGUUCCGACCUGCACGAAUGGCGUAAUGA